UUUCUGAUCUAAUACUAUGAGAUCUAUUGAUUCAGGGCUAUAAAUCUAUUCCUAUGGGAUCUAUUGAUUCAAGGAUGUAGAUCUAUUCUUAUGGGAUCAAUUCCAGUAUAGGGUUUCUAUGUAGAUCUAUUGUUUAUUCAACUUCUAUAGUUCUCUUAUUUAUUGAUUGUGGAGGUACUGAUUUUUUUAUUUUUUAUUUUGUAAGAAUGAUUGAUAAAUUUCUAAUGGCUAUUUCUCCUAUUACUUUGGUGUUAACAUUAUUUGAUUUUCUCUGUAGCCUGACUUGUUUUACUUACAGGAACUUUCGAGAUCCCUAUCUUGUGGGGACACUGGCACCUGAGCUAGGAAGCUUCCUCGCAUUAGAUCUUUGUAAGCGAUAGACUCAUCAUAUUGAAUGCACUCAUAAUAAAAGUUUUAAACUACCAUUUGGAAACUGCUAGGUAAUGGCACAUAUCGGUGAUGAAUGACACACAACUCGAUACACAUUUGGAGCCUUGCCCCUAAUGCUUUUCUUUUAACAGUACUUUGGCCUUAGAGAGGAACAAGUGUACUCAUCAUCAUAUAAACCAAUGAUGGCCAUAAAUAUCUUAAGCCAAAUCUACAACCACAACAUAUUGCACCUUGGUUGAAGGAGUAUACGGAUGGAAACAUAAAGACAUAUUUGUGAAAUCUGUGACUAUUCCUGAAGUUAACAAUUUCCAUGUCAAGAUUGUUGUUGCUAACAGCCUCCAUGAUGUGGUUUUCAACUCUGAAAAAAAUGGUUUGUACCCACCAACAUCUCUUUUUGGAUUUUUCUUUGACAAUUCAUGAAAUUUAGUAGAUAAAAAUAGAAGUUUGUCAAAACAAGGGCAGAGAUUGCCAAAUAUAUAAGGAAAUCAUAAGGACUCCUUAGUUUUUUAAGGUUUUGAUACAUAUUACUUUCUAUAUAGCACUUUAUAUCACUUUAUCUCUAGUCUAUUAAUAUACACUUAUAUUAUUGUUAUUGUUGCAAUUUGGGUUGUAACAUUGUUCGUGGAUUCCUUUGAUGGUAGAUGUGUUUUCUUUUUCCUUUCCUUUCUCAUACAUUUAGUAUUCUGAUGAAUUAAAUAUGUUUUAACUAUUGUGAAUAAAAAAAAUAGUGAAAGAUCUCAUAUAAUUCCAUGUACCUUUGCUUCCUACGCUGAGAUGGUGUGUUUGCUACCUAUCUUCUCUUUGUCUUAUAGUUGUUAUACUUGAGCCACUUUGUUUUACAUGUCAUAGCCACUCAGAACAUCAUUCAAACUUUUACAUAUCAAAUGGACUUAAGCCCUCUCUUUCGUCUUUUUUAGAUGGUAGGAUUACAUAUCAUUUAAGGCCAGAUUGAAAUGUCUACAACAAAUGGACUUGAGUCCAUGACUUGUGCUCUAAUAUGGGGUGUCGUAACCAUCUUGGCUACUAAGCAUGAAGUAGAAUUUCUAUUCAUAUUCCUGCCCAUUUUAGCUAGGCCUUUGGAAGUAGUAGUAAAAUUUUUGUUGCACAUGUAAAGUUGGAAGGCCUUGGAGCCUUCCCAUUUGUCCCACUUACAUGCAUUGGUUCGUAUGUACUGUAGCUUGAAAAUCUUGACUUUUGGUGGUCUCAAAAGUUCACAAUUUGGCCACAUUGUGGUUGGAACAUCCCCACAAUGUUCCUCAUUAGAUAUGUCUAACUGGUUGUUGUUAGCUAUGAACUACCGGGUUGAAACGAUAAUUCCAGGUGAGAUACUAUUUCAAGUGUAUGUUUCAUUGAGAAAUUAUGUGAUGUCUUUUGCCUUUUUGAAAUCUAGCACAUCAUAGUUAUGAGCGUACGGUUGGUGGGUAUAUAGGUAUAGUGUUUUUUUUUUUUUUAAAUCAUGAAUCUUUCUGGAAUUUCUUCAAAAUGCCAUGUUCAUCUUUUAUAUAUCAAGAAUUUGAAUUGAUAUGGUACUGUAUGAUCAUCUGACUUUUCUUAAAAUUAUGGAACAUUUGUACUAUAUUUUUUAGUCACUUGAUCAUAUUAGUGCAGUCUUUGGUCCUCUCCAUGGAUGAAUUAGAUGCUGUAAGAUUGGCAAUCUCCUCCUUUUUCUUUUUUAAGUUAUUUGAUUAUCUGGCAAAGCAUGAUGAUUUGCAUAUGCAAAUGACUCUAUUGAUCCAAACUAUCCAAGAUUUUCAGGUGUAAUAAAGUGUAAAUGUGGAUGCUCUUCCAAAAAAAAAUUAGAUUGAUUAACAAAAUAGGUGGACCACAGUUAACAAAACUAGUUGAUGACCAAUAAAAAUUGGUUGCCUACCUUUUGAGUUGGUAGGCCUGAGUCUUGUGACAGAGCAUAGUGGGAUCCUUAAGAUAGACAGACUGGGUCUGACUUACAGCUUGGUGCAAGUUUCAGUCCACUUACCUUCGGCUAGAUUUAUGGCCUAUUUGGAUAUAACAUCCUGAAAAAAAAAAAAAGGAACAGAUUGCCAAACCACACAAUCUGUAUCUUGGGUAGACGGGGAAAACUAGAUGCAUGGUCUGCCGAGCUGUGGUAGCACAUCAUCUGCCACAACUUAAUGGAUAGCUAAGACUUCCAAACUGACUAUUCCCCUUUGUUGUUAUAUGCUGCUAGCAGGUCUACUCAAGCAACUCGAAUGAACGGAGGAUAUGAUAUAUAAAUUUUGACAUGGGUGCUACUGUAUGACUAUAUAAUCUGCUUUGUAAUAGGAUAUGGUUAUACAUUGCUUUUUUUUAUCGUCCUCUGGUCUGAAUUUUUAGAUGUUUUGUGGAGGGAACAUUUAAAUCUAGACAAAUGUUUCUUUCAUCUAAUCAUUCCAAUUUGAACAAAUGUUUAAGAAUAGAUGCAAUCUGUUAAGAUUUCCUGCCUCACUGUGGUCUCUUAUGAUGCUCCAAUGUAUGGGACUGCUGAACCAUGGGUCACUUCUACAAAAUUGAAAACCGAGUAUAUUAUACAUACUAUGGAUCUCCUAUAAUUCCAUUUUAAUAAAUAAGACCAAUGAAAUUUUAAUAAAUCUACUCCCUUCUUGUUGUUUUGACCCAACUCAGUUGGACAUUGAAGCAAAUGAGAUUUUAGGGCAUGGUUUGUCCAUAGCAAGGCAACCUCGGUCACCGCCAGUUGAGUUGUGGGCCCAGUUGAAAAAUUACUGGUGAAGCUAAAAAUGUCAGACAUGAGUUAGCUGCGACCCUAGAUCCUGUGAUGCGGGCGGGACCCUGACUAUAAUUUUUAAUUAUCCAGUGAUGUGUUUAUAGUGUUGGAAUAUUUGCUUACUUGACUUUAACAGGUUGGUAAGGGAAGAGAUGUUGAACUGAAUCAGAUUACUCUGUUUGAGGGGAAAGUUGCUGGUGGUAAUGGUGAACAAGUUAACUUAGUAGGGAUGUUUCUAGGCUUUUGUGUGUAGGUGCGAGCGUAGGCUCCUUUAUUUUCUUAGUAGCAUCAAUGAUUAGCUUGAAGCUCUACCACUCUUGGAAGUUAAAGAGAGAAAGAUAGAGAAAACUGUCUCAAGUUUGUUUUUUUUUUUUUUGAAUUUGAGUGCUUGGAUGACAUUCUAGUUGUGUGGUUAUGUACUUCUUAUUUUGACUGACUAGUUGCCUGUGUAUUGUAUCUUUGAAUUCAGAUUCGUUUUGGGGUUCAUCUUUGGUUAUAUUUUAGGGAAGAAGCUUCUCGGGUAUGGCUAAUUAUCUCAUUUCUUGAUCAUUCUGUGAAAAUCUUGCAAAAUUUCAGGAGUUCUUGUUUGUCUUUAUAAACUUCCAAUGGUUGGAUAAAAAUGUAACUGCAUGAAAACAUUCAAACCUGAAAUAUCAUGUCCCUUCCCUAUAAACACAUCAUUCUGCAAGCUUUGGGAGCUGCGCUUGUGAUUAGUUUCAUGCUUUUGCUAGCAAUCCUUUCCCGGCCCACUAGUUGGUGGAAAUACUGCAGCCAUAAAUAAAUGGACUAAUGAUAGGAUUGCAAACUGCCAAUCUCCCAACAUGGACUUCGUAAAGGGGGAGCUUUUGAGGUUGCUUCUUUCUCUACUAAAAAUAUAUUGUCAAGAUUAUGGAAAAUUAUGAUCCCCAUUCGGCGUGGACUCAACAUUUCUAGUAAAGUAGAUCAGUUUGUUUUUAAGCAUGUCAUCAUACAGUUAUACAAUUCAUUCAAUCCAAGAAUAUGGCAACAGUUGGAUGUCACCUCAUUUACUUGGA
Molecule: long non-coding RNA, 4143 nt
Organism: Magnolia sinica
Lineage: Eukaryota; Viridiplantae; Streptophyta; Magnoliopsida; Magnoliales; Magnoliaceae
Exons: 3
Source: RefSeq, a predicted model, not a curated record